This 275-nucleotide ribosomal RNA is filed under the name uncultured bacterium. RNAcentral describes it as "partial 16S ribosomal RNA". It matches the Rfam family "Bacterial small subunit ribosomal RNA", at positions 399 to 691 of the family's 1533-position model. The record is from RNAcentral.
GCGUGAGUGAUGAAGGCCUUAGGGUUGUAAAGCUCUUUCACCCGCGACGAUGAUGACGGUAGCGGGAGAAGAAGCCCCGGCUAACUUCGUGCCAGCAGCCGCGGUAAUACGAAGGGGGCGAGCGUUGUUCGGAAUCACUGGGCGUAAAGGGCGCGUAGGCGGCGCCGGAAGUCAGGCGUGAAAGCCCCGGGCUCAACCUGGGAAUGGCGCUUGGGACUCUGGUGCUUGAGUUCGGGAGAGGAGCGUGGAAUUCCCAGUGUAGAGGUGAAAUUCGU